This 425-nucleotide ribosomal RNA is filed under the name uncultured bacterium. RNAcentral describes it as "bacterial SSU rRNA". It matches the Rfam family "Bacterial small subunit ribosomal RNA", at positions 354 to 796 of the family's 1533-position model. The record is from RNAcentral.
GUGGGGAAUAUUGCACAAUGGGGGAAACCCUGAUGCAGCAACGCCGCGUGAAUGAUGACGGCCUUCGGGUUGUAAAGUUCUUUGAUUGGGGACGAAAAUGACGGUACCCAAAAAACAAGCCACGGCUAACUACGUGCCAGCAGCCGCGGUAAUACGUAGGUGGCGAGCGUUGUCCGGAUUUACUGGGCGUAAAGGAUGCGUAGGUGGUAACUUAAGUGGGAUGUGAAAUCCCCGGGCUCAACCCGGGAACUGCAUUCCAAACUGAGUAACUAGAGUGCAGGAGAGGAAAGCGGAAUUCCUAGUGUAGCGGUGAAAUGCGUAGAUAUUAGGAGGAACACCAGUGGCGAAGGCGGCUUUCUGGACUGUAACUGACACUGAGGCAUGAAAGCGUGGGGAGCAAACAGGAUUAGAAACCCUAGUAGUCC